Molecule: ribosomal RNA, 427 nt
Filed under: uncultured Alphaproteobacteria bacterium
Lineage: Bacteria; Pseudomonadati; Pseudomonadota; Alphaproteobacteria
Description: bacterial SSU rRNA
Rfam family: Bacterial small subunit ribosomal RNA
Source: RNAcentral
UGGGGAAUUUUGGACAAUGGGGGCAACCCUGAUCCAGCCAUGCCGCGUGUGUGAAGAAGGCCUUCGGGUUGUAAAGCACUUUCGGCCGGAACGAAAUCGCACGGGUGAAUAUCCCGUGUGGAUGACGGUACCGGAAGAAGAAGCACCGGCUAACUACGUGCCAGCAGCCGCGGUAAUACGAAGGGGGCUAGCGUUGUUCGGAUUUACUGGGCGUAAAGCGCGCGUAGGCGGAUCACUAAGUCAGGGGUGAAAUCCCGAGGCUUAACCUCGGAACUGCCUUUGAUACUGGAGAUCUGGAGAUCGGGAGAGGUUGGUGGAAUUCCGAGUGUAGAGGUGAAAUUCGUAGAUAUUCGGAGGAACACCAGAAGCGAAGGCGGCCAACUGGCCCGAUACUGACGCUGAGGCGCGAAAGCGUGGGGAGCAAACA